GAUGAACGCUGGCGGCGUGCCUAAUACAUGCAAGUCGAGCGAACAGACGAGGAGCUUGCUCCUCUGACGUUAGCGGCGGACGGGUGAGUAACACGUGGAUAACCUACCUAUAAGACUGGGAUAACUUCGGGAAACCGGAGCUAAUACCGGAUAAUAUAUUGAACCGCAUGGUUCAAUAGUGAAAGACGGUUUUGCUGGCACUUAUAGAUGGAUCCGCGCCGCAUUAGCUAGUUGGUAAGGUAACGGCUUACCAAGGCAACGAUGCGUAGCCGACCUGAGAAGGUGAUCGGCCACACUGGAACUGCGACACGGUCCAGACUCCUACGGGAGGCAGCAGUAUGGAAUCUUCCGCAAUGGGCGAAAGCUUGACGGAGCAACGCCGCGUGAGUGAUGAAGGUCUUCGGAUCGUAAAACUCUGUUAUUAGGGAAGAACAAAUGUGUAAGUAACUAUGCACGUCUUGACGGUACCUAAUCAGAAAGCCACGGCUAACUACGUG
Molecule: ribosomal RNA, 497 nt
Filed under: uncultured bacterium
Lineage: Bacteria
Description: partial 16S ribosomal RNA
Rfam family: Bacterial small subunit ribosomal RNA
Source: RNAcentral